GACCUCGGAUCAGGUAGGGAUACCCGCUGAACUUAAGCAUAUCAAA
This 46-nucleotide ribosomal RNA is filed under the name Aspergillus terreus. Its description in RNAcentral is "partial 28S ribosomal RNA". RNAcentral also lists the same sequence under 3 other names. The record is from RNAcentral. Lineage: Eukaryota; Fungi; Ascomycota; Eurotiomycetes; Eurotiales; Aspergillaceae.